AUCCCAGCCGUACAGAGCAGUGAGUGAGCAGUACCCGCUCAGAGGGCUGGUGGUCAGCUUGUCUGCUCUUCACUCGUUCUGCUCAUCUGGUGCUCAAAUGCUAAUGGCACAGAGAGCUGACACAGACCGUGUCAGGAGAACAUGGGGAGAAACCCUGCUGUGGGCCCAUGCCCAUAAGGAGAACCAAAACCUCAUGCUAAAUUAGGAGAGAGCAACAUGGCAGCAGCUGGAACGAAUUGUGCCUUUGGUGUCAGGGUGUCAGCGACAUAGCUCACACUUAUAAACAGCCACACUGAAAAAAGCACCACUGGGAAUAGAAACGAUGUCUUAAUGCUUGGAAAUGACAUAUGCUACAUUCUUGUUAAAAGAAAAAAACAGUAUUAUGAAAAAAUGGAUGCCUUGAAAGCCAAAUCCUAAUUCAAAAUGUAUGUGAAGGAUUGCUGCCAUUUUACUUUAUGAACAUAUUAGAGACAGGUGGAUGAGGCAAAUAUGAAAUUUUAAAAACUGCCUGAAAGAAGUAUGCCCUUUCAGAAAACAACCAGGCAAGCAACUUGAAAAUGGUUUUCAAAAUGGCAAAAACAUUUUUGACACAAGCUUCUUCCCGGAGAACAUCAAGAUAGUCAAGUGAAAGCUGGUAAAGCUAGAGCACUGGAUAUCUUCCACAAUGUUGUCUAUAAACGUCAACACCAACCUACCAAAAUAAAAUCUGCAGCUGUAUGUCACCACCAAGAUAACAACAGGCAACCUACCUUCAAAAGCUAAGCUGGGACACAUUUCCAAGUUUAAAUCUAACUUUUGAGGAGUCUUUAUGUUGAACUGGGGCACAACCCCUGAGUUUAGAACUAUAGAGACAUUUGUGCUGACAUUUGGUAAAUGAGUGAAAUAUUUUUGAAAAUUCUUUGUCCUGAGACACCAAGUUAACUCUGUUUUCACAAGAAUUUACAAAACUCCAAGUGUUACAAUAAUUUAAUCCACUUGCACUGCAUAUAUGAAGGAUAUGGCAUACAGACAACCCACAGCUGCCCUUAGUUUAACUACCCUAUGAAGUUCCAGUAUGGUUUUUCCUAGAAGUCAAGAUGAGAACAGGAUGUAUAUACAACCCUGUGGUUUCUCUACUAAUAACUCUCUUGUUAGCUAAUGUUUUAUAGGAUCUUGUUUUUUGUCAUCCUUUAGACUAACAGGACAAUUUUUUUAAAAAAAAGCCUCUAUCUGAGAAUUUAGCUGGUAGAUUUGUGUUCUAGUCAUUGAAUUUGCUGAAGCUUAACACCUGUUCCAUAUGUAUCACAUUAAAACAUUCCUCCAAGAUGAGCGUU
Electrophorus electricus (electric eel) is the source of this 1313-nucleotide long non-coding RNA. RefSeq lists it as uncharacterized. The record is from RefSeq and is a predicted model, not a curated record. NCBI's taxonomy places the organism in Eukaryota, Metazoa, Chordata, Actinopteri, Gymnotiformes, Gymnotidae.